AUACGGAGGAUGCAAGCGUUAUCCGGAUUUAUUGGGUUUAAAGGGUGCGUAGGCGGUUUGCUAAGCGGGAGGUGAAAUGCCGGCGCUCAACGUCGGAAGUGACUCCCGAACUGGUGGACUUGAAUGACUCUGCCGUGGGAGGAAUGUGUAGUGUAGCGGUGAAAUGCUUAGAGAUUACACAGAACACCGAUUGCGAAGGCAUCUCACGAAGGGUUGAUUGACGCUGAGGCACGAAAGCGUGGGGAUCAAACAGGAUUAGAUACCCUGGUAGUCCACGCAGUAAACGAUGAUGGCUAACCGCUGGGCUUAUCAGUUCAGUGGCCAAGCGAAAGCGAUAAGCCAUCCACCUGGGGAGUACGACCGCAAGGUUGAAACUUAAAGGAAUUGACGG
This 391-nucleotide ribosomal RNA is filed under the name uncultured bacterium. RNAcentral describes it as "partial 16S ribosomal RNA". It matches the Rfam family "Bacterial small subunit ribosomal RNA", at positions 523 to 916 of the family's 1533-position model. The record is from RNAcentral.